RNAcentral lists this unclassified non-coding RNA (292 nucleotides) under uncultured Leotiomycetes. RNAcentral describes it as "sequence contains ITS1". The stretch from base 1 to 105 matches the Rfam family "5.8S ribosomal RNA", at positions 50 to 154 of the family's 154-position model. Lineage: Eukaryota; Fungi; Ascomycota; Leotiomycetes. The record is from RNAcentral.
GAAAUGCGAUAAGUAAUGUGAAUUGCAGAAUUCAGUGAAUCAUCGAAUCUUUGAACGCACAUUGCGCCCUGUGGUAUUCCGCAGGGCAUGCCUGUUCGAGCGUCAUUUAACCACUCACGCCUGGCGUGGUAUUGGGGCACGCGGUCUCGCGGCCCUCAAAAUCAGUGGCGGCGCCGGUGGGCUCUAAGCGUAGUACAUACUCCCGCUAUAGAGUUCCCCCUGGUGGCUUGCUAGAACCCCCCAAUUUUUACAGGUUGACCUCGGAUUAGGUGGGGAUACCCGCUGAACUUAA